CCUACGGGAGGCAGCAGUGGGGAAUAUGGGGCAAUGGGCGCAAGCCGGACCAGGCAACGCCGCGGGAAGGAAGAAGGCUUUCGGGUUGUAAACUUCUUUUCUCAGGGACGAAGAAAGUGAGGGUACCUGAGGAAUAAGCCACGGCUAACUACGGGCCAGCAGCCGCGGAAAUACGUAGGUGGCAAGCGUUAUCCGGAUUUACUGGGUGUAAAGGGCGUGUAGGCGGGACUGCAAGUCAGAUGUGAAAACCACGGGCUCAACCUGUGGCCUGCAUUUGAAACUGUAGUUCUUGAGUACUGGAGAGGCAGACGGAAUUCCUAGUGUAGCGGUGAAAUGCGUAGAUAUUAGGAGGAACACCAGUGGCGAAGGCGGUCUGCUGGACAGCAACUGACGCUGAGGCGCGAAAGCGUGGGGAGCAAACAGGAUUAGAUACCCCAGUAGUC
Molecule: ribosomal RNA, 443 nt
Filed under: uncultured bacterium
Lineage: Bacteria
Description: partial 16S ribosomal RNA
Rfam family: Bacterial small subunit ribosomal RNA
Source: RNAcentral